RNAcentral lists this ribosomal RNA (457 nucleotides) under Enterococcus durans. RNAcentral's name for it is "bacterial SSU rRNA". It matches the Rfam family "Bacterial small subunit ribosomal RNA", at positions 71 to 513 of the family's 1533-position model. Lineage: Bacteria; Bacillati; Bacillota; Bacilli; Lactobacillales; Enterococcaceae. The record is from RNAcentral.
GCUUGCUCCACCGGAAAAAGAAGAGUGGCGAACGGGUGAGUAACACGUGGGUAACCUGCCCAUCAGAAGGGGAUAACACUUGGAAACAGGUGCUAAUACCGUAUAACAAUCGAAACCGCAUGGUUUUGAUUUGAAAGGCGCUUUCGGGUGUCGCUGAUGGAUGGACCCGCGGUGCAUUAGCUAGUUGGUGAGGUAACGGCUCACCAAGGCCACGAUGCAUAGCCGACCUGAGAGGGUGAUCGGCCACAUUGGGACUGAGACACGGCCCAAACUCCUACGGGAGGCAGCAGUAGGGAAUCUUCGGCAAUGGACGAAAGUCUGACCGAGCAACGCCGCGUGAGUGAAGAAGGUUUUCGGAUCGUAAAACUCUGUUGUUAGAGAAGAACAAGGAUGAGAGUAACUGUUCAUCCCUUGACGGUAUCUAACCAGAAAGCCACGGCUAACUACGUGCCCAGCA